UACAGAGGGUGCGAGCGUUAAUCGGAGUUACUGGGUGUAAAGGGCGCGUAGGCGGUGAGAUGUGUGUGAUGUGAAAGCCCCGGGCUUAACCUGGGAAGUGCAUCGCAAACUGUUUGACUAGAGUAUAUGAGAGGGUGGCGGAAUUUCCGGUGUAGCGGUGAAAUGCGUAGAGAUCGGAAGGAACGUCAAUGGCGAAGGCAGCCACCUGGCAUAAUACUGACGCUGAGGCGCGAAAGCGUGGGGAGCGAACAGG
This 253-nucleotide ribosomal RNA is filed under the name uncultured prokaryote. RNAcentral's name for it is "partial 16S ribosomal RNA". It matches the Rfam family "Bacterial small subunit ribosomal RNA", at positions 524 to 776 of the family's 1533-position model. The record is from RNAcentral.